AUGCUCGCUUAGACAACACAUAUACUAAAGUUGGAACAGUACAGAGAAGAUGAACACAGUCCCUGUGCAAAAAUGACAUGCAAAUUUCUGAAGCUUUCCAUAUUUUA
Bison bison bison is the source of this 107-nucleotide small nuclear RNA. The record is from Ensembl. Lineage: Eukaryota; Metazoa; Chordata; Mammalia; Artiodactyla; Bovidae.